UGCAAUUGCCUAAAGUAACUAGGAAAAUAAAACUAAUAUUCACAUUUUAAAGAAAAUGUACAGCAUUGAAGAGGCUUUCAGGGUAGGGCAUAGCUGCAUUACCUGAGUGUUCCCUAGGCUUCCGACCUUAGAUGCUAUCGCACUGGGGGAACCUGGUGUGCUGACUCUAAGGAACAGCACGGGGCGUGGAGUGGCGCGG
Molecule: long non-coding RNA, 199 nt
Organism: Oxyura jamaicensis (ruddy duck)
Lineage: Eukaryota; Metazoa; Chordata; Aves; Anseriformes; Anatidae
Exons: 3
Source: RefSeq, a predicted model, not a curated record